CAGUGGAAGUUGGCAUAACGUAUCUGCAUAAUGAUGAUUGUCCUAGAUUGUAGAAUGUAAAAUAACAAUGAGCUUGAGUUUCCUGGAAGCUAAACUGUAAAACGUCCCCCCGCCCCGCUUUUUAAAAAAAAUAAAUAAAGUGAGAAUGGGAAGUCGAUGUGAUUGGGAAAUAAUUACUUUGUUUUGAGAGAGGUGAGGGCGGUGGGAGGCAGAAAACUAGCCUCCUGUGCUCGGAUCUGUUUGUAUGCUUCAGCUUUUCUUUGUAAUGCUCGCGCGGAGUCACUUUAGAUCUAAUGAAGGCACCGAAUUACUGCAGUCAUGGGAGGAGCAAAGCUAUCCACCCUUUGAUGCACUCAAUAAAGAGCGUGGAUGCAGCCGCCUCUUCAUCCACCAGAGAACUUACUAAGGAGUAAUCUCAUUGUCUUCAGUCCUUAAGACGACUGAACUCUCUUCGCUACAUUGAUCAGUACUACGGUUGCUCAUACUUUUAUUUACUAAGAUUAUUCUUUAAUAAAACUGCAAUUGGCAUCUA
Hemicordylus capensis (graceful crag lizard) is the source of this 532-nucleotide long non-coding RNA. RefSeq lists it as uncharacterized. The transcript is spliced from 2 exons. Lineage: Eukaryota; Metazoa; Chordata; Lepidosauria; Squamata; Cordylidae. The record is from RefSeq and is a predicted model, not a curated record.